UACGGAGGGUGCAAGCGUUAAUCGGAAUUACUGGGCGUAAAGCGCGCGUAGGUGGUUUGAUAAGCGAGAUGUGAAAGCCCCGGGCUUAACCUGGGAACGGCAUUUCGAACUGUCAGGCUAGAGUAUGGUAGAGGGUAGUGGAAUUUCCUGUGUAGCGGUGAAAUGCGUAGAUAUAGGAAGGAACACCAGUGGCGAAGGCGGCUACCUGGACCAAUACUGACACUGAGGUGCGGAAAAGCGAUGGGGAGCAAACAGGGACUUAAGAUACCCCCCGUAGUCCC
This 281-nucleotide ribosomal RNA is filed under the name uncultured bacterium. RNAcentral's name for it is "partial 16S ribosomal RNA". It matches the Rfam family "Bacterial small subunit ribosomal RNA", at positions 524 to 797 of the family's 1533-position model. The record is from RNAcentral.